GAUGAACGCUGGCGGCGUGCCUAAUACAUGCAAGUCGAGCGAAUGGAUUAAGAGCUUGCUCUUAUGAAGUUAGCGGCGGACGGGUGAGUAACACGUGGGUAACCUGCCCAUAAGACUGGGAUAACUCCGGGAAACCGGGGCUAAUACCGGAUAACAUUUUGAACCGCAUGGUUCGAAAUUGAAAGGCGGCUUCGGCUGUCACUUAUGGAUGGACCCGCGUCGCAUUAGCUAGUUGGUGAGGUAACGGCUCACCAAGGCAACGAUGCGUAGCCGACCUGAGAGGGUGAUCGGCCACGCUGGGACUGAGACACGGCCCAGACUCCUACGGGAGGCAGCAGUAGGGAAUCUUCCGCAAUGGACGAAAGUCUGACGGAGCAACGACGCGUGAGUAAUGAAGGCUUUCGGGUCGUAAAACUCUGUUGUUAGGGAAGAACAAGUGCUAGUUGAAUAAGCUGGCACCUUGACGGUACCUAACCAGAAAGCCACGGCUAACUACGUGCCAGCAGCCGCCGUAA
This 515-nucleotide ribosomal RNA is filed under the name uncultured bacterium. RNAcentral describes it as "partial 16S ribosomal RNA". It matches the Rfam family "Bacterial small subunit ribosomal RNA", at positions 28 to 523 of the family's 1533-position model. The record is from RNAcentral.